This 406-nucleotide ribosomal RNA is filed under the name uncultured Prevotella sp. Its description in RNAcentral is "bacterial SSU rRNA". It matches the Rfam family "Bacterial small subunit ribosomal RNA", at positions 355 to 758 of the family's 1533-position model. Lineage: Bacteria; Pseudomonadati; Bacteroidota; Bacteroidia; Bacteroidales; Prevotellaceae. The record is from RNAcentral.
UGAGGAAUAUUGGUCAAUGGGCGUAAGCCUGAACCAGCCAAGUAGCGUGCAGGAAGACGGCCCUAUGGGUUGUAAACUGCUUUUAUACGGGGAUAAAGUGGGCCGCGUGUGGCUUAUUGCAGGUACCGUAUGAAUAAGGACCGGCUAAUUCCGUGCCAGCAGCCGCGGUAAUACGGAAGGUCCGGGCGUUAUCCGGAUUUAUUGGGUUUAAAGGGAGCGUAGGCCGUCUGUUAAGCGUGUUGUGAAAUGUCGGGGCUCAGCCUGGGCAUUGCAGCGCGAACUGGCAGACUUGAGUGCGCAGGAAGUAGGCGGAAUUCGUCGUGUAGCGGUGAAAUGCUUAGAUAUCACGAAGAACUCCGAUUGCGAAGGCAGCUCACUGGAGCGCAACUGACGCUGAAGCUCGAAA